CCCCACCUCUUUGUUUGUUGCCCCCGGUACUCUUUGUUUAACGAAGACUUUGAAGAAAAUCACCAAAUCACCGUAUCAGUACGACAAGAAGAGUACUGAGGACAUCUUGGAAACAACAGGAUGGGUACUGACUGACACCAGAUAACAAACAGAACACCUUGGAUAAGAUUGUGAACCUGGAGUACCCAGCCAAUAGGGUAACAGGGGAGGGGGAUAAGCAAGGGAGGAAACAAGGUACAAAAGCUGUCACAGAGACCUUAGGGGUGCUCCUGCUUGUGGGACGCCCGCCAUUGCAAUAGCGAAUAAAAUCUGCUUUUAUAAGAGAUACCGACCUGACAAAAUUAUUUGGAUAUUUCCAACAAUCGGGGGGCUCGUCUGGGAUUAUUAUCGCCUCCUUGGGGCUCCCCCUACUGCUCUGGACAGGAUAGGUGCAUCCCGCUGAUUUUUGCGGUCCUAUCUGGGUGGUGAGGUGACUCCUUGAAAUAGCCGAUAGGAAACCGAGACUGUUACGUAAAGGACGGGCUCUGUGAAAGCCAAGGGGCAGGUAGGCAAAAGUGUUGACCCAUGCAGACCCGGUAACUUCGCGUACGGACUAAGAAUUGGCAUAUGCCGGUUAAUGGAUGCAAGAAGUAAAACAGUUCCUCACAAGAAGGAGUCGAAGUUCAAAAGAAAAAGAAAGAAGCAGAAAGAUCGUAAAUGCGAUCCCGCAGAAACCAGGGGUGAAGAAUGACUCUUCUCAGCAGCUUCACAAUCUGGACUCACAGUCUUCUGUUUCAUUCCUGAGAAGCGCUUGCUGGUUAUUCCCUACAAUUAAAAAGUAACACGAGUUUGCCCGAGAAGAAAAGGAGCACCACAGUCCUCUGCCUGAACCUUGGAAAUACUGCACAGGACAGAACUAACUUCAGC
This 906-nucleotide long non-coding RNA is filed under the name Gallus gallus (chicken). The record is from RNAcentral. Lineage: Eukaryota; Metazoa; Chordata; Aves; Galliformes; Phasianidae.